Long non-coding RNA from Triticum aestivum (bread wheat), 6026 nucleotides. RefSeq lists it as uncharacterized. The record is from RefSeq and is a predicted model, not a curated record. The transcript has 8 exons. Lineage: Eukaryota; Viridiplantae; Streptophyta; Magnoliopsida; Poales; Poaceae.
CCGUACGUGUCAUCUACAUAGAGUAGAACUAUCCCCUUUUCUCUCUAAAAAGAAAGAACCAUCCCCUACUCUCGUACGAUCCCCACCAGGUUCCUGAGUCCUCAUCCUCGUUUGCCAUUUCUUCCGAUUUGCCGCCGGCAAAGGAAGAUGUCACCAUUGGCCAUCAGGAAAUUAAUACCCAGGUUAUCCCAGAUCUACACGCCGUUUCUUUUCUCUGAGUUUUGCUUCCAUAGGGUGGUGGCGCAUGUGGCUGGGUGAGUGCAGGGAUCUCGGCAACCUCGUCGAGUCUGGAGAAAUGGCCACAGAGAUUGCCAAGGAGAAUUUGGGUUGUGCUGCUUAUACUUGCCAUCGCCGGGUGCUUUGGAUGUUGGUGGCGCGGAGGUAGCUAGGGAGCUCACGGAGCAGGGAUGUGAAGCAGCUUCUGCGGGCAGCUUCUUACUUGUUGUCCUGUUCAUUGUUGGUGUUGUCUGGAGUCCUACCAAAUGUACAACAUCUCAAGCCAGGAAUAAAUGUUUCGUUAGAUGACAGACAUCGAGCAUCUGAGUCUUCAUCGUUAAGCAAUGCCACAAUGGAAGAAGUAUAAUUAAAAUUUAAGACAUUGGUAUACACCAUGCACUUACUAUGGUAUUAGAGAUUCAAUAUCACAGGCGUUUUUACUUGAAAAGGAUUAAAACACACUGCUUCAAAAGGAUAGAAAAAGUAGUUGUCGAUUGAUAAUGUGCACAUGAAGAUUGUAGCUGACAAAAGUGAGUUCAUAUAAUAAUAAUUACUAACCAUGUUGAUUCAGAGGUAGAAAUCGAGUUGCAUGCCACUUCAUAAUUUGGGUUGGCUUCGAUAUUUGCAGAGCGCCAGGUCCAAACAUCUUGCGCCAGUCUGUUGGCUUCAACUGUCCUGGUGGUGGCAUCAUUUCCAGACUGAAGAUGGGCGUGUUUGGCUGCUGGGUGUGGUCGGCCGUGUAUUUUUAUGGAUGAGUUCUGGCCGUGUCCUUAUGGAGUCCUUGUAUGUUUAUAUUUGAGGCAAAUCAGAGAGCUUUAUUCAAACAAAAGCAUUCCCCGGACAAUCAGCUAAAAGACUGGUCACAAGGAAGCUAGGGGUUUCCUCCAGCCAGCAAUCCGUCACAUUCAAGGGGCCACAAUUGAACGAGAGUUGUGGCAGGUUUUCCAGAGCAUCACCAGCUCCAGGCAAUCCACUUCCAUGAUCACAUGCGAGAGUCCCCUUAUGGCAGCAAAACGAACUCCAUCUCGCAGAGAAAAAGCUUCAAUGAUGAGAGGAUCCGAGAUCCCCAUAUACGGCUUGCACCACGAGCCCAGUAGAGCAAUGGCCGAGCGAGCGACGCCUCCUGCCCGCCUCGACCAUCUUCAAAGUUGAGCGCACCAUCCAUGGUGAUCUUAACCACUCCCUCAUCAUGUGGCCGCCAACUGAAGCCUGGCAGAAUCACGGCUGCCUUGCGCGGAAGAUCCAGGAGAGCAAUAGCCUCCUUGGUAGAUCGAAUAGUGGCUGUAGGAUCACGUCCUUCUUUCCCAUGCUUGAUGCGGUUUCGGGAGUGCCAAAUAGACCACAUGAUUGUUUUGAUUUUAGCACAGUCAUUAUCAGAAAACCUUGGGUCACAAAUGAUAUCGCGCGCCCAUGAAUCUGGGUGGAGUCGCGGGAGCCGGAGACCGAACUACGCAUACGCCUCCUCCUAAAAACGGCGAGCAUGGAUCAGUGCAUGCUUCAAAUCCUCACCCAUAGCCAUGCACACUUUGCAGCGAUCUAUGACUGCAAUAUGACGAUAUUUGAGAGUACUUUUAUCUGGGAGAAUGCCACGGAGGAGUCUCCACCAAAAGACUCGCACUUUGGGAAUAACAUUGAGCUUCCAUAAGGCCUUCCACAACUGUUGAUCGUUCCCUGAGGUCUCGGUAGCCGUCCCUUCCUCUAGAGCCAGACGCUCGUUUUGAGUCAUGAGAGCGCGGUACGCCGUCUUCACAGUGUAGUUGCCAGAUUUUUUGAAAGCCCAAGCAAAGGAGACCUCCCCCCCCCCCCCCCCGCCAAAUAGGAAUAUUGAGAAUGGCAUCGGCAUCAGGGGCAAUGAAGGUUUCCCUAACAACAUCUUGUCUCCAGGACAAAUUUUCAGAAUCGAUGAGAUCAAACACUCUCUCGAUGCUUGAAUUCUGUGGUCUCGCGAUCGGGGUCAUGGAGGUAGUACCUGGUAUCCAUUUUAGGUGCCACACAGAUAUAGUGCUUCAUCUCCCACCCGUGCGAUCAGCCCCACACUGAGGGCCUCUCUUCCCGCGAUGAUUGCCUUCCAAGUAGCCGAUGCGGACUUGGGAACCGAAGCUUGCAUGAAAUCUGUAUCCGGGAAGUAUCGCCCUUUCAAAACCCUUGCACACAAGGAAUUAGGAUUAGUCAUGAAGCGCCAUCCAUGUUUGCCCAGCAUUGCAAGGUUGAACAAAUGUAGGUCUCAAAAACUCAUUCCACCCAUGCACUUUGGUUUAGUCAUCUCCUUCCAUGAUAACCAAUGCAUCGAUUUUUUAUCAAGAGAGCUGCUCCAAAAGUAUUUCGUCAUAGGAGAUAUCAGACUCUUGCGCACCUUUUUUGUGAACAGAAAUGUACUGAUCGGGUAGGUAGGAAUAGCCUAAGCUGUUGGCUUAAUAAGAGUCUCACGACCAGCACAUGCAAGCAGCUUUUCCAAUCACCCUUGCAUAUAUCCACGAGUUCUUUCACUGAUAUGAUCGAAAGUACCACUCGUGAUACGACCCACAGCCGUCGACAGCCCUAAAUAUUUCUCACUGAACGCUUCCACUUGGAUAUUCAACGCUGCUUUCAUAACUUGUUUCACUGGAUCAGGAGUAUUUGUACUGAAGAAAAUAGAGCUUUUGUCCCGACUUACUCGCUAUCCGGAAGCAUCACCAUAGAUUCUCAAAAUCUCAUUAAGUUUAAGAGCACUAUGAUCUUUUGAAUCAAUGAAAAUUAGGCUGUCAUCUGCAAAAAGCAGAUGAGAGAUCCACGGUGAUUUAUAGCUUACUCUCAAACCUCUGUCUAAGGUACCUCCAUUAUAAAAUUUCAACAAGGAAGAAAAACCUCCCGCACAUAUUAGAAACAGAUAUGGCGAGGCAGGGUCGCCUUGACGGAUCCCCCUUGAAGGGGUGAAGAAUGGCAGAAGCUCACCAUCAACUCACACCGAAAAGCGAACUGAAGAUACACACUUCAUGAUCAACCUGACAAAGACAAUAUUGAAACCCAGCUUGGACAGAAUUGCUUCGAGGUAGUGCCACUCGAAACGGUCAUAAGCUUUCAUCAUAUCUAACUCUCGUAUGCCACAAGCACAUUAUCACUAAUAAGGCGACCCGGUACAAAGGCGCUUUGUUCCUCACUGAUAAUCUCAUCCAUGAUGCAUCGCAGACGGUUGGUAAUUGCUUUGCUCGCAAUAUUAUACAAAACAGGACAUAAUGCAAUAGGACGGUACUGAGGAAUGGACUGGGGGUGUUUUACCUUCGGGAUUAUGGCAAUAGAGGUGUCAUUCAAACCAGAAGUCAAUUCCCCGCCAUUUAGGAAUUCCAGGACUGCAUUAGUUACUUCUCCACCAAGAAGAUCCCAAUGCCGUUGAUAAAACCCGCAGUGAACCCAUCCACGCCAGGAGCUUUUGAUGGAGCCAUUUGAAAAAGCGCAGUGUAGGGUUUAGUGAGCUCCAUGUUCAUAUCAUCAGAGAUCUUGACAGGAACAUGAUCUAAUAACUCGCUCGCAUCAUGAAAGCCUUCAGACUGGUACAAGUUCUGAUAGAACUGUUGAACUUCUUCCUUAUCCUCGCUCUCAUCCACACAGACCGAUCCAUCAGAUCGUCUGAGCCCUUGAAUUUUGUUCAAUCUCUUACGCUGUCUAGAUUGCGCCUGAAAGUACUUCGUGUUACGGUCCCCUUCACGGAGCCAAGGUACACGUGAUCGCUGUCGAUACCACACCUCCUCCUAGUGCAGUGCCUCCAUUAGCUUCUUAACCGUGCUUUGUUCCGCUUCCAAUGGGUCACGACCAAUGGACAGAGAACGUAGCCGGUCAAGUUUCUUCUGGAGUUGUCCGACCCGUCUCGUCAAACACCCAAACUCCUUGGGUCCCCAUGGUUCCAGAGUUGCUUGAAGUUCCCCCAACGCCGAGGCAAUACCUUGUAGCCCAGAGCCACACUGGAUUCCUCGCCAAGUAUCAGAGACGAGCCGAUCGUAGUCUGAAUGAGUUUGCCAGACAUUUCCAUACCUAAACUGCUUCUUGGCCCUAGAUCGUGACUUGAAAGUUUCUUUGAUUUCUGCAACAACAAAACAGUGGUCGGACUCCACCGAAGACAGAUGUUGUACCCUGAUAUAUUGGAACUGUUGCCGGAAAUUUUCAUUAGCAAAGGCUCGGUCCAGCCUUGCUUUUACAUUGUCCACUCCAGACUGGCGAUUAUCCCAUGUGUAGGCCGUACCUGACCAACCCAGAUCCUGGAAGGAAAUAUCAUUUGUAACCUCUCUGAAGGCUCGCAUUUGUCGCUCUGGACGAGCAGCAUGGCUAAAAUGUUCAUUCGAGUAUAAGGUCUCGUUAAAAUCCCCCAUGCAUAGCCAUGCAUCAUGAGGAAUAGCGUGGAGCGAACGCAAAAACCGCCAGCUAUGAUGCCUUUCUUCAGCACGCGGUGCUCCAUAGAAACUCGUGAAUCUCCAAGGUGGAGAAUUCAGCAGCUUAUUAGUAACCAAAACAUCGAUAUGACGUUGACUGUAAUUCUUAAGUUCAACGGACACAUCUCGGGACCAAAACAUACCAAUGCUGCCACUAAGGCCUGCACUGUCUACGGAAAAACUACCAGCAAAACCCAAACUGCUCUGCAAAUCCUCUACUCUUUUAGCUCUUAUUUUCGUUUCCAUGACAAAGAGAAGAGCGGGGCCUUCAAUCUUCACAGUACUGCGAAGUUCUCGAACUGCCUUGGGGUUCCCAAGCCCCCGGCAGUUCCAGCUGAUGCAACUCAUUGGGACUGGCAGGACCGUGAAGCGGUCUCUGCCGAAUUUUCCGGUGUAGGUUUCUUCUUCUUUGAUUCCCUAACAAAUUCCUCUCCCUCUUCAUGGCUUGUUGAUGCUGUAUCAGUUCUGGCCAGGAUAUUGCCAUCACCACCAGUUUCAGUUCCACCAUCAAUGAGCAGCAGUGUGGUGUUAGCCACAUGCUUGUAAACUUGGGUCGACACAUCUUUCCGUUUCUGCUGCUGCCUAUUCUUCACUGGGGAAUUCACCUCCUCACCCGUAUCUCUCUUGUUACUAGAAUUCUUUGUCGCCUGUUUGCUGCUGGCCCCCGUAUGAUCUCUAAAAGAAUUGUCUGACGACGUCGGCUUUCGGUAGUCCUCAGGUGCCCGCAUCUUAGAUCCAAAAGGGAGCUCUCCCUUCUCAUCUCGUGAUCCCGGUGUUGGGCAGUAAGGAUCCGAGUGUCCCAGCCUACCACAGGAAAAGCAAAAGUAAGGAACCUGUUCAUAUUGUAUGUCAUACAUAUCUUUCGAUAAUCCAAUCCCCAGACGUAUAAUGCACUGACGUUGCACCGUAUUUUGAUUAGCAUUAUGUAUGUCUCCGUGACCAGUGGGCCCUACAUGUCAGAAUAAAGGGAAAGAAGCGAUAAAAACAGACCAAGACAGGACUUGAAUUUACUAAGUCAAGCUAGCUAACGCUUAUCCUAAUCAAUGCACCACUUAGGUUUUCUUGUCAACUAAGGAUAAUGACGCUCUAUAUUAUAAAGGAACACACUUGUGUGCUUUAAAUGGGCUGCUGUCUACGCGGCCCAUGUUGCACGUGAUGGGUUUUUUUUUUAGUAUUUUUAAAAUGUAGGUAAAUUAUCGUCUUAAAAAAUGUACGUAAAUUAUAAUGACAGUAACAGAUAUAAAAUCAAAACAUUCAUAUGUUAAAAAAAAUUAUACAUACAAAAAGUAAUUCAUUUAGAAAAAUGUUCACAUAAUUUUAAAAAUCUUUGACAUCUUAUUUUUCAAAAAAAUCAUAUAAAUAAAAUAAUAUUUAUUAUUAUGAAAAUGUUUGUAUCAUUUAUAAUGAUAC